RNAcentral lists this ribosomal RNA (525 nucleotides) under uncultured bacterium. Its description in RNAcentral is "bacterial SSU rRNA". It matches the Rfam family "Bacterial small subunit ribosomal RNA", at positions 984 to 1509 of the family's 1533-position model. The record is from RNAcentral.
ACAUCCAGAGAACUUAGCAGAGAUGCUUUGGUGCCUUCGGGAACUCUGAGACAGGUGCUGCAUGGCUGUCGUCAGCUCGUGUUGUGAAAUGUUGGGUUAAGUCCCGCAACGAGCGCAACCCUUAUCCUUUGUUGCCAGCGAUUCGGUCGGGAACUCAAAGGAGACUGCCGGUGAUAAACCGGAGGAAGGUGGGGAUGACGUCAAGUCAUCAUGGCCCUUACGGCCAGGGCUACACACGUGCUACAAUGGCGCAUACAAAGAGAAGCGACCUCGCGAGAGCAAGCGGACCUCAUAAAGUGCGUCGUAGUCCGGAUUGGAGUCUGCAACUCGACUCCAUGAAGUCGGAAUCGCUAGUAAUCGUAGAUCAGAAUGCUACGGUGAAUACGUUCCCGGGCCUUGUACACACCGCCCGUCACACCAUGGGAGUGGGUUGCAAAAGAAGUAGGUAGCUUAACCUUCGGGAGGGCGCUUACCACUUUGUGAUUCAUGACUGGGGUGAAGUCGUAACAAGGUAGGCGUAGACGU